This is a microRNA precursor of Colobus angolensis palliatus, 95 nucleotides long. NCBI's taxonomy places the organism in Eukaryota, Metazoa, Chordata, Mammalia, Primates, Cercopithecidae. The record is from Ensembl.
AGAUUAUAUUAGGUUGGUACAAAAGCAAUCGUGGUUUUUGCUGUUACUUUUAAUGGCAAAAAUCGCAAUCACUUUUGCACCAACCUAAUAAAUUU